UCAGGCUGCGGGUGGCCAGGUCAGCAGAUGGCGACUGGUAUAAGCCCAGGGGGACUCGCCCUCUGCCAGGCAGGUCCGUGAUUCCUGUCCCCUGCUAGACUGACGUUAAAAAAGCCACCCAGCAUGUCCCCAGGGUUGCUUUUCCAAGUGUCAACGAGGGGGUCAUGACAGACCAGAGUGGGGGCCAUUCCCACCCCUCUCACGGUGACCGGGAUGGGGAAGGGGCGUGAUGGGCCCUGUCCCUGCCGGGGUCAGAGCCCUGGGUCUUGUGACACCUCCCUACCUCUCACGACAAGGACUCUCCGUGCAUAGAGAAUGAAGUGCAUCGCAUCUCGUCUCCUCCAGAGGCGAAGCAGAGGAGCAGCCCAGCCCCGCGCUGGAGGCCUCGUCAGGAAGCCUCACCUCUCGCCUGGACCGUCUUCUGGCCUCUGAGCCCCAACGGGGCAUGUGGAGCCCUGGAGAGGGUCCCCUCCACCCUGCACCAGGCUCGUGGGGUGAGCAGCAUCUUCUCUCCUACACAUCAGCACCCACCUGCUCUGAAAAGCUGUGCCUGGGCUUGGUGCCCUUUGUCUGUGCCCCACGGCCCCUGCACGGCUUCCUUCUUAGUGGUGGUCUCACGCUUGACAUGAGAUGUGGGAACAGCAUCACGGUGAACACUGCCAUGCAUGGUGUCCAACUCAAGAAGAGACAUGGGUCCCUGGCAGCCAGCAGCACCAGAAGCUAUGCCCACGGUGGUUUUGAUUCAAGUUGCUUAUAAAAAAAAAUAUAGGGCUGGGCUGGGCACGGUGGCACAUGCCUGUAUUUCCAGGGACUCAGGAGGCUGAGGCAGGAGGACGGCAAGUUCGAGGCCAACCUCGGCAAUUUAGCAAGAUCCCUAAGCAACUUAGCCAGACCCUGUCUCAAAAUAAAAAUAAAUAAAUAAAAGGUUGGAGAGGUUGCUCCAGUGGUUAA
Ictidomys tridecemlineatus (thirteen-lined ground squirrel) is the source of this 951-nucleotide non-coding RNA. NCBI's taxonomy places the organism in Eukaryota, Metazoa, Chordata, Mammalia, Rodentia, Sciuridae. The record is from RefSeq and is a predicted model, not a curated record.